CUGCUACAACAAUCUUCUCCGAGCUAGGCACGCCUCUCACCACCUCAUCCAAAGCCUCCCAAAACUGCACCUUCUCCUCCCCAUCCAAUCCCACUUGCGGGGCAUAAGCACUACACACGUUCAGGGUAAACCCCCCAAUAACCAACUUAAUAGUCAUCAACCUAUCGCUGAUCCUCUUUACCUCUACUACCUGACCUCUAAACUCUUCAUCUACUAAAAUACCAACUCCAUU
This 232-nucleotide long non-coding RNA is filed under the name Capsicum annuum. RNAcentral describes it as "long non-coding RNA (CANN_LNC007027)". The record is from RNAcentral. Lineage: Eukaryota; Viridiplantae; Streptophyta; Magnoliopsida; Solanales; Solanaceae.